Non-coding RNA from Xylaria sp. FL0933, 110 nucleotides. The record is from the annotation of a GenBank genome assembly. Lineage: Eukaryota; Fungi; Ascomycota; Sordariomycetes; Xylariales; Xylariaceae.
GUCAAGGUGACCGAGUUGGUUAAGGUGCCAGACUCAAGAGUUUAUCUUACACUUCCAAAGUGUGUGUUCUGGUGGAGCAAUCCGCGCGAGUUCGAAUCUCGUCCUUGACA